Molecule: long non-coding RNA, 1986 nt
Organism: Gallus gallus (chicken)
Lineage: Eukaryota; Metazoa; Chordata; Aves; Galliformes; Phasianidae
Exons: 2
Source: RefSeq, a predicted model, not a curated record
AGAUUCUGCAGGGAAAAGAAAAGAAGAAGAAAAAAAAUAGAAAUGAAUAGGGCCAAACAGCAGCCAGUAGAACUGAGACACCAGCAUCACAUUCAGCCUGUGCCUAUACCGGCAUCUGAGCUCGGAUGAGGAGCAAGCACCUUGGCCAUCUGCUGCAGCUGGUCUCAGUGCCAGCACCUUCCCACCGCUGCAGUAACACUGGCUCUGCUCAUGCAGCACGUGCCAGCUGCAGCUCUCAGCACAUCUAUGGUACUCUGCAAGGGCAGAGGAGGUGAUUACCUGCAUCUCCCCACUGCUGGCACCCACUCAACUCAUCUCGUGCUCGGAACAGGAUGAGCUGUGCGGGCUUUUUCCCUGCACUCCCCUGUGGGGCUCAGUCUUCCCUCCCCAGGACGUCACCCCUGGGAACAGCCCCAUGCAGCCCCUCUACACCCCUUGGGCUCCACUGCUGAUCACUGUGAAGUGCUUAAAUGAACAUGGGAAGUGAAACGGGCUGCCUGCGUCCUGCUGCGGGCAAGCACUGUCCAUGCCAACACAUAACGCACAAUUACCCGCAUUGCACCGAGAGCAAAGCGGGAGGAGGGAGAGUAACCUUGACUUACCAGCUCAUAUUUCUACCUCGAGUGCCCAAGUCGCCAUGGAGAUCACGCACAUGUGAGCCGCAGACAGAUACGAUGCAUGGCUGCAAAAUGGCAGAGCCCAAGCAGAGCGUGCUGGGGAGCAGGGCGAGGUGUUGGGGAGCAUUUCUGCUCUGCUGCUGCAGGUCCUGCCACUUCGGAGCAGUCCGCAGGAGCGCACCGAGCAGAUUUAUCUCCAGAGGGUGCAGCUCAGGCUGAUACUGAUGCGGAUCUCUGAAAGAAUACAUGCAAGAAGGAACACAAUUUGUACUGAGUAUAUUGGUAAAUGCAAAGCCUACAGUAGAACAUGUGAAAAUUUGACUGUGCAAAACUGCCUGGGAGCUUGUCAUUAGGCAAUGAGAAGUCACCAAGCAGUGCAGCCCUGCUCACAGACAAAGGAAAUGUGGUUGCUGAACAACUCUGCACUGAACAAAUCCUUUCAGAUUGGGAAGAAGUUUCCCGUCACUGGAAAUAAAGAUUAGGAAUGACUAAAAGGUUUUGCUUCUUUCUCCUUGUCAAAGAUGUGCUUCUUCAGAGCAGAAGAUCUAACCUGGGGAGCAGGCACAAAGCUCCAACAAACUCCCUGAAGAAGAAAGGGAGAGGGAAAGCCCCAGGUAAAUAUCAUAAACCUAACUUUGAAAGUGGUGGAUGAAAAAUUUCAAAAGGCAGCUCGGGUACGACAGUCACCCACCCUUAACAAGGAAAAAAGUUUGCUUUGCGUCUCAGAAAACCACUCCAAAAACAUCCCAGUACUUUUGUCGGUGAGUAAAGCAAGAGGAGGGCUGUAAGAGAAACGCACCCAAUACAAAAAAAAAAAAAACCCCACAUACUAAGAGACAUAUACCGAAGGAAAAGGUUUCAAAUAUUUACAAGGCAUUUUCUGAGGGCUCCAGACAGCACUCUGGCCCCCACAGUGUGCCUGUAACGGAAUCCCCAACCUGGGCAGUGGGCAGGAGGGCAGCGGGAAGGAGAGCGGAGUUGGGACACAUGUGUGGGCUCCUUCCAGGAGCACCAUGGUAGCAGGGGCAGGUCCAGAUGUGGGCAGGAGCCAAGCUUCAGUGUUCCACUGCUCAUGAAAUAAACAUUUCCCUGGAGUGGUUCUGCCCCAAAGAACUCAUUUCCUGGCAUUAUUCACAAAAUUGCAGUAAGUGGCUAAUAGGAAGACAUAAAACUUGGCUUGAAGUACAUUUUCUGUGUGUCUUUUUUUCCAUCUUUCACAAAUUUCCAUAUCUUUCACAAUGCCCCCUUCUUACCUUACUGUUUUAGACUGAAACAAUCAUUUUAGUAGAUCGUAUCGAUUGAUUUCUGUAGGAUCUGAAAAUGAGUCUUCAUUGAGAUAAGUCUUUACAAUUAAAAUUAUGUUAUUUAA